This 222-nucleotide ribosomal RNA is filed under the name uncultured bacterium. RNAcentral's name for it is "partial 16S ribosomal RNA". It matches the Rfam family "Bacterial small subunit ribosomal RNA", at positions 109 to 334 of the family's 1533-position model. The record is from RNAcentral.
AGUAAUGUAUGGGGAUCUGCCUGAUGGGGGGGGAUAACUACUGGAAACGGUAGCUAAUACCGCAUAAUGUCUGCGGACCAAAGCGGGGGACCUCCGGGCCUCGCGCCAUCAGAUGAACCCAUAUGGGAUUAGCUUGUAGGUAAGGUAACGGCUUACCUAGGCGACGAUCCCUAGCUGGUCUGAGAGGAUGAUCAGCCACACUGGGACUGAGACACGGCCCAG